GGGCGUAUAGCUCAGUUGGUUAGAGUAGUGGACUUUUAAUCCAAGGGUCUUGGGUUCAACCCCCAAUACGCCCA
Molecule: transfer RNA, 74 nt
Filed under: Ecklonia arborea
Lineage: Eukaryota; Phaeophyceae; Laminariales; Lessoniaceae
Description: tRNA-Lys
Rfam family: tRNA
About the family: Transfer RNA (tRNA) molecules are approximately 80 nucleotides in length. Their secondary structure includes four short double-helical elements and three loops (D, anti-codon, and T loops). Further hydrogen bonds mediate the characteristic L-shaped molecular structure. tRNAs have two regions of fundamental functional importance: the anti-codon, which is responsible for specific mRNA codon recognition, and the 3' end, to which the tRNAs corresponding amino acid is attached (by aminoacyl-tRNA synthetases). tRNAs cope with the degeneracy of the genetic code in two manners: having more than one tRNA (with a specific anti-codon) for a particular amino acid; and 'wobble' base-pairing, i.e. permitting non-standard base-pairing at the 3rd anti-codon position.
Source: RNAcentral